This 491-nucleotide ribosomal RNA is filed under the name uncultured soil bacterium. RNAcentral's name for it is "bacterial SSU rRNA". It matches the Rfam family "Bacterial small subunit ribosomal RNA", at positions 26 to 507 of the family's 1533-position model. The record is from RNAcentral.
AGAGUGAACGCUGGCGGUAGGCCUAACACAUGCAAGUCGAACGGCAGCACAGUGGUAGCAAUACCAUGGGUGGCGAGUGGCGGACGGGUGAGGAAUACAUCGGAAUCUACCUUUUCGUGGGGGAUAACGUAGGGAAACUUACGCUAAUACCGCAUACGCCCUUCGGGGGAAAGCCGGGGAUCGCAAGACCUGGCGCGGAUAGAUGAGCCGAUGUCGGAUUAGCUAGUUGGUGAGGUAGUGGCUCACCAAGGCGACGAUCCGUAGCUGGUCUGAGAGGAUGAUCAGCCACACUGGAACUGAGACACGGUCCAGACUCCUACGGGAGCAGCAGUGGGAAUAUUGGACAAUGGGCGCAAGCCUGAUCCAGCCAUACCGCGUGGGUGAAGAAGGCCUUCGGUUGUAAAGCCCUUUUAGUUGGAAAAGAAAGCAAGUCGGUUAAUACCCGGUUGUUCUGACGGUACCCAAAGAAUAAGACACCGGACUAACUCGUG